Molecule: ribosomal RNA, 467 nt
Filed under: uncultured bacterium
Lineage: Bacteria
Description: partial 16S ribosomal RNA
Rfam family: Bacterial small subunit ribosomal RNA
Source: RNAcentral
GAUGAACGCUGACAGAAUGUUUAACACAUGCAAGUCAACUUGAAUUUGGGUUUUUAACUUAGGUUUGGGUGGCGGACGGGUGAGUAACGCGUAAAGAACUUGCCUCACAGCUAGGGACAACAUUUGGAAACGAAUGCUAAUACCUAAUAUUAUGAUAAUAGGGCAUCCUAUAAUUAUGAAAGCUAUAAGCGCUGUGAGAGAGCUUUGCGUCCCAUUAGCUAGUUGGAGAGGUAACGGCUCACCAAGGCGAUGAUGGGUAGCCGGCCUGAGAGGGUGAUCGGCCACAAGGGGACUGAGACACGGCCCUUACUCCUACGGGAGGCAGCAGUGGGGAAUAUUGGACAAUGGACCAAGAGUCUGAUCCAGCAAUUCUGUGUGCACGAUGAAGUUUUUCGGAAUGUAAAGUGCUUUCAGUUGGGAAGAAAGAAAUGACGGUACCAACAGAAGAAGUGACGGCUAAAUACGUG